GCAAAUGGCGACUUUAGUCGUCAAUGGCAGUGAAUGAGUUAAGAUGGUGUGUCUAUGCUUAUGGUGUGUUAAACCAGCUCUUCCCAGAACAAACUCGUUCUCAGCGGCCAUUACAACAUUACAUUACAUUACAUAACUUUAUUCAACAACAAAUUGAGGCCGUUUUAAAAUUAAUAACAUUAUAUGUUUAUGUUCUUUAGCCGUUUAAAAGCCAAAAGAAUCAGUUUCCCCACAUCCUCUUCUCUGUAGCCAUGAUGAGUUUACCAGGACAGAUGCUUGAAUACUUAUAUGGUGAAGAACACACUGCUACUCUCAGGCUCUCUCUCCUCCAUAUGUUACAUGGCUGUAAAAACCAGACCUGUAUUUUAUAUGCAGGGAUAAAGAGUAAAAACUACUGUUUUUUUUUUUGUAUCCAAGAAUGAAUUCCCAGAGGUGGGAUUUCUUUCAGCAUCAUUCCAACAGCCGCUCUCGCCCUCAAACAUUUUUAUUAUCAAUGCCAAAAAAGCAGCACAGCAAUAAAACCAGGCACAGACGAUAACCACCCUAUCAGAUGCAUGUGUGUCUUUGAAAAGUGAACUAAAGCUGUCAAACAAACAGAGAGAAUGCUUCAUAACAGCAGCAUGAACUUUAUUUUCUGUUUUGGAUUUCUGCUUUGAUCAAAUAUCUUCUAGGAAUGCUCCACACCAGCAUCCACGUGCCACUCAAGAUAAGAUCAACCAUCGCAGUCAGAAAAAGGUUAUUUCCCAGCUUCCGUACAACAUUCUGUAUUUUCCUCCUCAAGAUAACAAGCAUGACUUGAAUUAAAUAAAAAAAUUCCCCCGUGUUGGCUCCAAGCGCCUGUUUUUAAUUUGUACCUCCAGUGAAGGGAUUCAUUUCAUUUCACAGAAACAAACAUGCAAGAACGUCUGCUGGAGGUUUUUAACAGGUAGCGUGACAUUUACCUCCACCACAUCCACCGCAACACAUCUAAAGCUGUUUCACUUCUGCUCAUCGCUCUCACACGGGACAUCCUGUUGAGUACAUCUGCGUCUGCUGCUGCUGUCACUGUUCAGGUCUACACUCAUUACACGUGUCUGCCCAGGCCUCUCAGUCCUUCACAGGACAGAGUCCACGAACAAGAGGCCAGCCUGCAGCAGCGAACGUCUCUGAAGAGCACAUUACUUUUUAAAAAGCUGUUCUAGGCCACUGCCGUUCUUGAUAAUUACUGGGCCCAGGAGGAGGAUGCGGGUCGUGUGUGGUAAAAAGCUUCUGAACGGCACAUAUUUUUACCAUCCUGCUGAAAUGUUUCCAAAGCUCUGUUUGGCUGAGGAAGAAAACAAGACACUUUUAUGCGUCAAUUCCAUUCAGGAACCUCGUUAAACAGCUUCAGCCAUGAUCCAAAACUGUUCUUCACGAUCUCUUCUUCAACGUGCCUAUCUGCAAAAGAUAAAAGCAAAAAGCAUGAGUUUUGUGUUCAAACGUUAUGUCCCUGAACACUGAUAAGCGUCUAGGCUCAGUGGAAAUAACAAAUGCAUCACGCAGAACUGCGUGUCGCAGCUCCUGAGUGUGAAUGAGGUCAGUGAGUUGGAGAGCUUGAACAAUGCUUCAGGAGCUGUGGAGAAAGAGUCCCAGGACUCUGCUGUUAUCUGUUCUACAGACUCUGGGACAGCAGCCAGACUGAUGCCAUCUCAAGGAGAGGAACACAACCAAAAAGGCAGGAAAUUCCUGCUGCUCUUGCUCUCAUAUGCAGAAGAAAAUGCUCUUUAAAUAAGGCCAUUGUUUUGCAAACAGUUCUGAACAUGCAAGAAGUUCACUUAAGUGGAGAAUGUGUGAUCAGGACCAUUAGGAGAAUGCUGCAAGUGAAACAAAACAAGACAAAGUGACGUAACGUCGGGAGGUGCUGCUUGUGUAACUUGUUAAUUAUGACAGUAAGCACACCAUGUUGUAAGUUUCUCAGUAGUCUUUCAAUUCUAUUUUUCAUUGCGUCUCCAGGGGAUUGCACAUCAAGUUGGCCAAAUCAGGCGUUUUUCAAAUUCUCACAUUAAAGAUCUUUAAAGAGCAAGUCAACCCCUACCAGAUUCUAACUCCACUCUCACUUCAUGUUUGAAAAAUGCAACAAAUGCUGUUGCCUGGCAGACCGAGAGGGCGGAGCUGCUAACAAAUACACACACACACACACAGGCUCACAACAGCAUUGUGACAUCAUAAUGUACCAGAUGACAUCAUAGCAUACUUCUUAGCCAAUAGCGGUGGCAGAUUUAAAUUAAAAUACAGUGCAGAGUUUUUACCUGACAACGGCACAACACUGACAGUUUUAGGCAGAAUAUUUAAAUUUUAACUAAGAUGCACUGAAGUGCCAAAUUAUUGACGCCACGAGUCUGCAGCACGAUUAGACACUCAUUUAUUUAGUUUAUCAGCAAAAAAAAGUUUAUU
Nothobranchius furzeri (turquoise killifish) is the source of this 2412-nucleotide non-coding RNA. The record is from RefSeq and is a predicted model, not a curated record. NCBI's taxonomy places the organism in Eukaryota, Metazoa, Chordata, Actinopteri, Cyprinodontiformes, Nothobranchiidae.